UGCUUAAUAGAUAAUGAACACCCUUGCUACAUUUUAUCACCCAUAAGUAUUUUCUUCAUUUAACUAUAAUAACAUUCUAAACUAAAAUUCUCAAGGGACAUUUAAGUUCUUUUAUUAGAUACUCAUAUGUUCAGAUUUUUAGUAAAUAAGUGUCAUGACAUAAGUUCUUUCUCAUUCCACUUGUUUGUUUCUACCAAUUAACUAUANACCAGAAAACAAUUUUUGAGUGAAUUUACAUGAGUUUUGAUUCACUUAGUUUAGUGAAAAUGGAAAAAAAUAAAGAUGAAGUCUUCAUGUAUUUUCAUGAUGCACCCCCUCCAUUACUAAUCUCACCCCUUCCCUUUGUUGAAAUGACUCUUCUAUCCUUCUCCUUGGGUUAAGUUGUUGGACUUUAUUUAUUGGGCUUGGACCCUACGUAUUAAUAAGAGAAACUUACAGUUUUACUAUUACAAAAUUUCAAAAAUAAUGAACGGAGACAUACAUUCAGCUGCUUGCAAGAUCUCUUUAUAGAACUCAUUUGAAAGAAAAGAAAUCUUAAAUACUGUAAGAAUUUUAACUUUUUUUUUUUUAAAUUUUGUGUGGUAAAUGCAUCGAUCUAUUAGAAGAUAAUUCUCAAAAUUUAUUUNUCCCACUUUUUUAAGCACCUAUUCAGGUUUUAUGAUCGUCAUAAGAAGAAAAUUAAGGUGAAGUUGAAUAUUUACUUAAUAUAAUUUUGGAGAAUUUGCAUUUUU
This 731-nucleotide long non-coding RNA is filed under the name Vigna radiata. Its description in RNAcentral is "long non-coding RNA (VRAD_LNC017722)". Lineage: Eukaryota; Viridiplantae; Streptophyta; Magnoliopsida; Fabales; Fabaceae. The record is from RNAcentral.